This 5621-nucleotide long non-coding RNA is filed under the name Gallus gallus (chicken). Its description in RNAcentral is "lncRNA (ENSGALG00010029884.1)". The record is from RNAcentral. Lineage: Eukaryota; Metazoa; Chordata; Aves; Galliformes; Phasianidae.
UUGCAGUUAUGAAUCACAGUUGUCUCUGCUUCUAUUCUAGGCUAUUUGCCAUCGUAUAAGCAGAAUGUGAUUUACCCAAAUAUAUAUAUUUUUUAUCAUUUCACGAAACUCUUAUGAUUCUAUUAUGCACUGAUUUAGAAACCAGCUUUCACCUUGUUCUCUGCUUGUAAAGAUAAGCAGUUGUGUCUUUUAGCACAUAGAUAGUUGUGAAAUGCACAAGCGAGGAACUGUUUUAUUUGCUCAUCAAACGUGCCAUCAUUCCAGGAGUAGCUUAGACCAUUAUCAUGGGUUAGAAGGUUAUACAGGAAAAACACGUUCUAGAGAAAGGCUGGUCAAAAUAGAGGAGAUAGCCUUAGAAAAGCAGAUCAUAACAACCUGUAUCACUCAGUAUGUGUCAGGCAGAGUCCUGACAGUUUGUCAUAAUGACAGAAAUGAAGCAAUACCAACACUGUUACAUAACCACGUUUGUAUUAUAAGAAAACAAUAACACUUCACUGCGCUCUUACCUUUUAUCAGAGAAAUAAGAUUGUUCUUUGCUGUCUGCUCGUGGUUGUCCCAUGAUUCAGGAGAGCAGUGCUGUCCAUGAAGAAAAGGGGAAAGAGACACGAGAGGAGGAAGUAGUUACCGAGGUCACGUGGGGAAGCAGUGUCAGAGGCAUGAGCAGAAUCUCAGCCUUCUGACUGUCCCACUCUGCCCUCAGGGCAACCAGACAGAAGUGCAAGAGUGGCUUGCCCUGUGACUCAACUGCUCUUCCUUCCUCAGCAGCUGGCAUGCUGGGCAAUUACAAAUAAGUGCCAGUGUGCCACUUGCAUCUGUGUCGGGUUCCCAAGGGACUCUAGGCAGGCAUGUCUUCUGCUGGAGAAGGCUGGAUGGAAGGAUCUCUGCAAUGCAUUUCUUUGGGAGCAUUUUUAGAACUUGGAAAGAUUCUCUUUUUGCCAGAUGUGUGUUACUUUCCUCUGAUUUCUUUCAUAACUUGUGUAACCUGGGGACACCCAGGGUUUUUUACCCUCCUCUGCAAUGGACUAACAACAAACUUGUGACAUAUGUGCCAAAUGAACUUAUAAUGAUAUGAGAUAAUGCUUGGGGGGAUCCUGUAAGCUUCUCCUUGAGGGGAGUGCUGAUGAGCUUUGUGGCCUUGCACAGGUUUGCCUUGUGGCUCAGAAUGGGAUCGGGGCCAUUGAUCUGGGCUGAUGCUAAAACUGGGAGACAGUUCUUCUGGAAGUUCAUUCUGUAGCAAGAGGGUGCUGGUGGUGUCUGAGUCCUCCUACCAGAUACAGGGUGAGGCCUUGCAUCUUCAUCUGAGCAGCACCUCCAGUUUUGAUGUCCUCAUGCUUCUCUGUAUCCAACACCUGCGUUCUGUUUAGGUGGCUGUCAGCAAUUGUCCUGUUGUGAUACACUAAUGCUGGGAUGCACUUCCAGAAUACCAGUUCAGCCUUGGCCUUGAGGAAUAAGUGAUGGAAGGAAACAGCACAGGAGGAGGCUCUGUCUUGGUUCUGGUCUUUGGAUGGAUGGAUAAGGAGAGGUCUGUGGCACAGAGGGGUGAAAGGUGACUAAGAGUGUGAAACUUGCAAAAAACUCAUUAUAAUCAUGCAAUCUUCAGGUGGUUUUCUUUCUCUGGAAGAAGCCACCUCGUGUCAGUUGGCCUGCUGGCAGUUGUUGCUCACCCGGAUAGAAGUAUUAAACAGUUAUUUCUCUGCUUAGAAAGUUUAAUACAACGUCAUAGCAGUGAGGCUACAACACUACAUAUUGUUUUCUUCUUUCAUAGUUUUGUGUCCAUGCUCACAAAGCUCUCGUGAACAAGCUCUGUUGAAUUUUGCUGUGGCUCUUUGAGGUGUUGCUGGUCUAGUCCUGCUCCACGGCUUGCUUCCCCAUAGCAGAGCCAGCAGAAAGGUUUACUCUGUGAUUGGUCCAGGGCAGCAUCCCCCAGAAGAGCAGCUUGCUGGAGGUGAUGAUUUAAACCACUGAGCAUGUUUCCUAGGAGGACUCUUACUUUCCUAAUUAGCAUGCCUGCUUUUCCAGUGAGCUGCAGUGAAUGGCUUCCCCAUUGACCCAGUGGAUCCCAGUCUUGCAUUUUACAAGCAAAACGACAUGAUGUUGUAAAUGUACUCCUUGGAACUGAUUCUCCUCAUAACCUGUAAAACUGUUGUGAAAAUAUGGCCCUGUCCCUCAGCAGUUCUGCAGUCACCUCUCUGAGACGCUGUGUUUCACUCUUGAAUCAAAUUUUAGACCAGAAAAAGGGUUAGGCUGCAUGCAGAUUAACAGAUCUGUUGCUUGUAUCUCUGGCUACUGCAGCAUGACUCACCCAUCAGCGCCUGUCAGCAGCUGUGUGACCUCAUUGGAAGCUUCAACAUCUCCUGUGUGAAGGUAGCUCGUAAUCCAGAGUAGGAAUCCUGGGUAGGUGGAGAGACCGUGGUGAUACACACAGCAGGAGUGUUCUCUGUAGAAAUCAGAUGUGCCCUCAGCCAGGAAUCACCGUAAAAAUCCUUGCAUAUUUCUGAAGAUCCUUAAAUGCUGAGGCUGCCUUUCCCUUGCCUCUACUAAAAAGCACCUGUAGCUUUUCAAGACAGUGAUUGGCAUCACUGCUGACAGGAAAAUGUGAAAGUAGAUAGGUCAGGGAGGAGAAGCUCCUUUAUUUGCAAGGGCAAGGAAGAGCUGAUGGCUCCUCUUUAUUUGCCACAUCUUCUAUUGACGUGAUGUACUGACACAGGAACAACAGGGCUGCUGGCAUGCUGUUUGAGGGAGACAGGUUUAAAAACAGCAAGAGGAUCUAUAAUAAAAGGAAAGGAUGAGUGAAUUAACUUGUGGUACCUUACACGUGUAGCUUAGAGAAGUAGUGUGAUGGUGAAACAAAAAGUGGGAGGCAGCACUUUAGGCAUCAGAUGGUUGUCUUCAGCUGCUGCUUGCUGGCUGAACACAAAGCUUGUGCUCCUUGUCUCUGCCUCCUGCCAGGGGCUGUUACACAGUUCCUCAGACAGGGGUAGAGCUGGCAUUGACUGAAUGUGGUUAUGCAGAGCUGCUGCAGACCAGCUCUGUUACCUAGCAAGUCUAUUCUCUUGCACUUUGCCUCAGGUGGAUGGUAGUAUUGCUUCUGCAUUCCGUAAAUUUCUUUCUUCUGCCCGGGAAUGUGGAUUCUCUUGGUGAAUAUUCUGUUCCAAGAGAAUUUGUUUCACGUUUCGGUGCUUCUUUAAGGAAGGUGUAGGUGGUCUUACAGUUGAGGCACGCAUGGGAGGAGGAACUAGGCAGCAUUUUGUGUCUCUUCGUCCAGGAUUCCCUGCCACCAGGGUCAGCCAGGUCCUGCAGCUGUCUGCCUGGCUGCUGUGUGAUUCCAGCAUGCAAUAAGCUCGUGUGUCUGCCUGCUUUCUGGAACCAAGAUGUGCAAUAGAUGCAGAGCACAGCUAGUCCUGGAAAUGAGUCUCUGCGGCUCUCUGCAUGGAGGCCGAGGUCUGGGUGAUGUUUUGAGACUGAGCUUGCCUUCGCUGGGUGAUCUGAUGGGUGUGAAGGGCAAGAGAUGGAGGGCCCAUAGCAGUGCUGUCUGUGCUGCAGUCACCUGCGGGUGUGAUGGUUUAACUGUUCAUUUUUUUUUUGCCAGUAUUUGAAGUUUCAUUGCUUGAUUUACAUCUGAGUAAAUUUCUUUAGUAUCUUGGAAGACUUUUCUUUCCAGUAUGAAAGCUUACCUCGGGUUCCGAUGGCAUCCUGCUCUUACCUCCAGCUCAGCCCUCACCACUGCUCUCCGCUUUUGACAUGGAACGGGCAGACACCAUUUGUGACCGUGCGAAUAUCCUGAGUCACACACUACCAGCUGGCUUUUGUGCUGCAGUUUUCCCUUCUCCCUUUACGACUGCACUCCCUAGAGGAGACCUGAACAAUUGCACUCGUCAGCAGAAGCGCAUGGUGUGCCGUGCCUGGAUGGCACCAUUGGUGGACGACCUCUGGCUGUGUCUGUGGGCUUCCUUUUGUAGCUGGGUUUCAUUCUGUUAGAUCCAGUUGAUUUGGCUUCUGCUCUGCCUGGGCUUUGCACCUGCUACAGCCCCAGCAAACUUGGCAGCAACCCUUCGGCUCUGCAGAGAAAACAACUGUCUAGACCAGGAACCUUCUGCCUGAUGCCCUGGAUGGACCCCAGGCACUAAUCUGCAUCCACAACGGCGCGUUGUUGUGUCUGUUGCAAAAGAUGGAUAAAAUCUUUGUGGACUCCUAAUUGCACCUUUAGCCUCCUGCUAAAGCCCCGCUGCCCCAGGCAAACACAGAGCCUGUCAGCGUCCUGCAGCUCACCGUGCAGAGAUGGGACCAAAAUAGCUUCACAACUUCACAACGCCACUAAAAAUAGCUUGCAGCUGUUCUGCAUUUAUGAUCUGAUCUGCACGCUGAGUCAACGUCGCUGUAACGACAUGGAUGGAGGGCAGAGGUCCGCAGGUUUGCUUUGAGGAAGCCCCAUAAACAGGGUAAUAGCACCAGAGUUACUGUUCUCUCGAACUAAAGGGAGAGAAAGUAAGCUGCCAAUCAAAAAGAACAUCUCGUGGCACAGGCAGAUGUUUCUGAUGGCGAUGCCGGAGCCAGCAGAACCCCUGCAGCAGCGCAGCCCCAUGGUGCUGGAGGCCCUUCCAGACUGGAGGUGUGGCGGUGGUCUGCAUGUCAGCAGAGCAGUCCCAGCAGCGUUCAGCAUGGAUGAGGUAUUGAACGCAUCCCUGUGCCUCUGGGGGGCAACGUGGCUUCUGCUGACGUGUGAACGCUCUGCUUGGCAGCCUGGUGCGGCACAUCACAGCUCAGAUGGGUUCUCCCAGGCGGCUGUGCAGCACAGAACUAAUACAUGGAAUACAGGUGCUCGUGGACUCGUUCUGCACCGACCUGCCAGUCUGCAGGCCCCAAAAAUACAGGCACGGCCCAAAGGUUUCUAUUCAGGGCCCAGCAGUGGAAUAAGGAACAUGAGCCGUGGGAUAUCCCGUGUCACCGCAGGCUGCUCAGCCUGGAAGGGGCUGGUGGCAAAGGGAGGAAACGUCAGAAACGCCAUGGACUAUUUUAGAUCUGCAACCUCAGUUCUGCAAAGGACAGCCUGCUGAUGUGCCACGCUCAGCGAGCAGCGGGGAGGAACCCCACGGCAGGAAGAGAGGUUUGCAAGUUUCCCUUUCCCAUAGAGCACAUCCCAAACUGCUGCACGACAGCAUGCUGUGCAGUGCUGUGCUGCGUGGUGUCCUGUCAGCCUGCUGGGAGGACACGGAGUGCUCCAGCAGUGGGCAAUGUGGGAGCAGGCUGUGAGCUGCACAGCCCAGCAUACAGCACGGUGUGAGGCUGGAACUCCCAGUGCCCUCAGCACGUCUCCGUGCUGCGUCCCUGGCUGUGCAGCUAGGCCUGGAGGGCCCGGGGCUGUGAGCUCAUGGGUUUCUAUUUAUGCUUUCAUCUGGUUUUGCCUGCUUUGGACGGUUAACGUAACGCACACGCAGGGUGGUGCUUCAAGGAGACAAACAGUUGCUUCAUCUCCCUGUACAGACAGCCCUCUGCCCUUUGCGUUUCGAUUCCCGGUGUCUGUGUGUGUGGAGGUGAUUUGUCCAUAAUUGUUUGCUUUCUCCGGAGUCCUUUGAAGCGCCUGUCUCCCAACCGGUCCCCUCUUAAGAAUAAAUGCUUCCAAG